This 20-nucleotide unclassified non-coding RNA is filed under the name Mus musculus (house mouse). RNAcentral describes it as "oocyte_clustered_small_RNA4661". Lineage: Eukaryota; Metazoa; Chordata; Mammalia; Rodentia; Muridae. The record is from RNAcentral.
UCACUUCACCAGGCACGCAG